Centrocercus urophasianus (Greater sage-grouse) is the source of this 9125-nucleotide long non-coding RNA. RefSeq lists it as uncharacterized. The record is from RefSeq and is a predicted model, not a curated record. The transcript is spliced from 3 exons. NCBI's taxonomy places the organism in Eukaryota, Metazoa, Chordata, Aves, Galliformes, Phasianidae.
UGUCUGUUUGGGAUGUCCAGUGUCCCCAAAAGUAACAUCACAGUGCUUUCUGUUACAUCUAAGUUCAACUCAUAAUGAGCAGUACCUGGCAGGCACAAAUGCAGCAUGUUCUGGGGAGUAUGUGGUGGUGUGUUUCCAAAUCAUCAGUAACCUACUGCAGGAAUCAGCUGCCAGAAGCCCUCAUGUUGCUGCCUUCAUGCUGUUUCUUCACUUUCUUCAAGGGCUUUAAACUCCCUUACUCUGGUGUCUUGGUUUGACCGUUUUCAACAGGCUGAGUACUGAACAUGAGCCCUUAGGAGAGGUCCCUGCAGUUUGCAAUGCGUAGAGUCCUUGAAGAGCACCGAGGUCGUGUAGUGUUAAUGCCAUGCAGGCACAUGGAGGGGUUCUCACUGCUCGACUGCUCCAUGCUUCUGCUUUGCACCACUUAAUGAGCCUGGAGUGAAUUCUCACAACCGUGGAACAAGGCUGAGGGCCAUCAGGUUCCUGGAGAAGCUCUCCUACCCCAGCUCUGCAGCUAUGGAUCUACAGCCAAUAUGCUCCUCUCCAGUCUCUGUCUGUCCACGGCCAAAGCCUGGCCUUCCCAGUGGCUCGGGCUUCUUGCAGAGGCAGGCAACGUCCCUGGAGGUGUGUGGAAAAGUGCCUACAGGUUUCAGUCUGUUUUGUGUUUCCUUUGCGAAGCAUGGACUUGAAUUUCUUCAUUUGCUUCCUGAAGUUCAAAGCCAAGGUGGGCGCACUUGGACUGAACGGCCUAACCUGGUGAUCUAACAGUGGUGCUUAAUCUUUCAGGGCAAAAAUGAAGACUAUUGCAUGCCAUCCAGAACAGAGCAUUAAUGGGACAUUCAGGUUGCAGCUCCCACACUGGGUGCCUGGUGACUUCUGGAGCUCCCUCAGUGUUGGAGACGCCAUGCAGGGCUGGCAGACUGGGGCAGGACUGAGGGAGCCACUGGGAUGCUGGCAGCUGCAACAAGACCAAGCUCAGAUCCUCAGAAGCCUUGACUCAGAGUUACGUGGCUGUGCCCAAAGGCUCCCUCUCCUCUCUGCCUCUUUGGGCACCACCCUGCUGCCCUUCUCCCCGCCCCACAACUCCAGUUCCCCACGAAUGCCCUCACUGUCAUAGAGCAGGGCAGUGAGGAAGAGAGCACAGAGAAGGCCAGCCAGGCAUUCCCUUUCUCACCACGGAGAGGAAGGCACUGCUGAUCUGGAAGGCAUUGCCUCUGCCCAGCGGCUGCAUUGCAUUGCUCAUCUCUCCUCCUCCCUGCUGCUGCCCUCAUUUGGCUGAUUCUGUAGAUGAAAAGUGGCCUUUAAAAUAUAGGACAAGGUCAUGCUUCUCUUCCUGCAGUCACAGCCCUGUGCAGCUGUGCCCUGAUGCUCACUAACAGCAGCUUUGAGGAGGCGCUGUCUGCAGGUGCUGAAUGCCCCAUGGGGAUGCAACACCAGCAGUGGUACACAGGCAGCAGCAAGGGUGCAAGUUGGCGGUGAUGGGGUGCCCACCUCCAGCACUACCACAGCAUCCACCCAGAGAGGCACUGGGCUGGGGGGCUGGGGCUGGCAUUCAGUUGUGCUGCUGCUGUUCCAGAGUGGGUUUCUUUCCAUCGUGUGUCCUCUACACCGUUUCUAUGAGACAUAUUGACAGUUUUGUGCCAUGCAGUACAAAUGCACAGUCCUGUUUGUGGGUCUCCAGAGCAGAGGGAGUUGUGCUGAUGUGUUUGUAGUUGUUCCUGCCCCAGUAGUGCCCUCUACUAUGGGAGGAAGGUUGCUUUCUUUGCAAGCAGAAAACACUGCUCUUGCUCACCAUGUUCCUGCUUGCCCCUCCUGGCACUGCCACUAUUAGCUACAGCUCUAUUUGUCCAUGGUGCAUCUCGGCAGAGGAACUGGCAUGCCAGCAGUCCAGUAGCUUUCAGAGCUGAUGCUUUGCAGACUAAGAAAUGUGACGAGAGUUAGGUGGGCAUUGUAGUGUUUGCGAACAGCAUUAGAGUGGGACACAAAGGUGCUGUCUGGGAGGGCUCAGCAGUGUUAGGUUGUCCUGAGUGCUCCUUAUUGUGCCUUCUUGCCCCUGUUGUUGCUGCUAGACUUUGUCCUCUGUGGUCCAAACUGUCAGUGCUUCAGCCCGCAUGAGCCAAGGUAAAGUGUGCAAAUGAACUUCCCUGGGAGCAGUCCAAGCCUGAAAGUCAUCUGCUCUCCCCACAAGCAUGAAGAGAUUGAAAAUAACAGGCUUGCUAUCUCAAGGGGAAAUGAGUCGAAGGCAAAGCCUCCCAGAAGCAAACACUGAGCAGCAGAACCCUGUCUUGAUGAGAAUUUUUCUCACUGCAGUCCAGGUGGAUGCCAGGACUCCCAUAGCGCUUUCAGUUAACGGAGGAAGAGAGACCUGAUGUCCUGGCCAGCACUGUGUCUGUGCAAGUGCCCAGGGCUGUCCAAGCUGCUGACAACUGUUCUUGGAGCUGCUGUGUGCUGCCAGGAUCUAGCUCUCUGACAGGAGUGCCCAGUGUUCCCAGGAAAGGGCAAGCUGCCGCCCCAUCCCUGAGGACUGCUGUGUUCUCCAGGGCUCUGCACCGUCCAGCUGGAAGUGAUCCCCCCAGAGUAGAGGAACAGGCAGCACAGGCCUGGGUGCUGAGCACACUUCUCCACUGAGCUGUUGGCUGAGUGCCUUCUACCUGCAGACCUUUCACAGCAAUCUCCUGGAAAAGAGGUGCUAUUGCUGAAGAGAGGCAGCAGAUUGUCAAUCCUCAAUGACCAGAUGGUGUUGUGCCUCUGUAUGUAGGACAGGGUGGACCUGUAGCUCUCAGUGUUCUUGAAUUGAGUGGUGUCUGAAAGCCUCCUUUCACCUCUCUGAAUAGCAAUGUAAGGCUCAGACAUUUGCUGCCUGCUCCUGACUGUCAGGUCGGUGGAUCUGAUGGAUCCCCAUGGGUGCAGUACUGGAGGUAGGACAGAGCUGCUACAGGGGUGAACUUGGCCUCCUGGAGUCAAGAAGCAAUUACUGUAACAUGGGCCUCAUGGACCUGGCCCUCUGAGUGGCACCGGGUGAAGCAUCCAAAGAAUUGAUCUUUCUCCAGCUUGAAAUUCCUAUGUCUGUCUCUGGCUGAGGCUGGAAGAUGCACCCUUUGAGCAGCUUCUGUCUUGGAGAUGAGGAAGAAGUCCUAGGGAUGACUGUCCUUGACAAAGGGGUGUCUCGCUGAUUCUUUGUCUUGUACAUUUCUCAAUAAUUCCUUUUGGCCCAAAGACACUCAUUAUUUAUCUUUCAUAGCCAAGAACUCUGAAUUCAGAAUUUAUAACUUCAUUAAGAUAUUUUGUUUAUUCGCUUCCCAAGUUAUACUGGGGCAUGACAACCAUCCUUCUAUCUUUCUGCUAAGGAAUUAAGCCCAUGAUUAGCUGCUAAUUUAUUAGCCCCUUUGUGCGUAAAGCUGUCUGCAAUUAGGUAUUGAUCACUCACACAGUGAUCUUUGGGUUUCUCCCACAGCUUGGGCUGUGAUUUCAGCUGUAGGAGGGAGAUGACUGGCUUGGUCCUUCCCCACUGUGUUGUUAUCCGUUGGUCAAUCAGAAUUGUACAAAUAACUGAGUUGUGCUUGAUUAAGAUUUGGGUCCCUUCCAACCUGGAAUAUUCCAUGACUCUAUGAUAAUGAGCCUGAUAUCAUACCAGAGCCCUGGGUAGUUGGUAUUUGUUAUCAAAGCGGAGAGACAUACCCUGUUUUACCUGCUUGUGCCAGGUGUUUCUCUGCCACUUUGCAGUCUUGUCAAUUGCAAAGAACAGAAGAGGCUUGGAAGAUGUCUCUUUGAAACCACAGUGUUUCAGGGUGAUCAUUCUAAUGUUUUGUAUGGGGUGGAGCUGUACAAAAAAUAUCUCCUGUCCAUGUUGUGAUCACUGGACAGGCUCCUAGCCAACUGAUGUAAUGCUGGCACGAGGUGUUUACAUCUUCAAAGUCAUUGAAAAAGUAUCUCUGAGCUCCUGAAUAUGCAAUGUCUGAGACCCCAUUUGGCUCUCAGGUGUCAGAACGAUACCUACCAUAUCUCAAACAGUGAUGCCCAGAAAGACUUGGCUCUUUAGAGCCCAUCAAAGUGAGAGCCUUCCAUGGGUGUUAGUCAAAAGAGCAAUCUAGCCUUCAGAUUAGUAUUUUGGGGUAAUCUCCAAAAGCAUUAUAAAUAUCUUGGGAGCAGUCUUUGGAUUUUUAUGGAGCAUUACCGAUGGAGCUUCUGGUACUUGACAUGGAGUUGAUAUAAAGUGGCUCAAUUAAGGACUUAAACCCCUUUCAAAGACUCAAGCAACUUGAUGCCUUUGGCUUCAGGAUGGGCUACAGAAUGAAAAUAUAGGCAAAUAUGGAAACUCUAUUCAGGCAGAUCCCAAAGGUGCUCAGUAAAUCCAUAAUAGAGAUGCAAUUGUUUGCUCUUUCACGCAUACGCUCACAGAGGCUGUUGCCAAACUCCCUUGAGUCCACGUCCUGUUCAGUUCUAUUGGCCUGUUUGGCCCUGCUGCUUCCGGAUGUCCUGAGUGUUUGUAAGACUGUUUGCUGUCUGAACCUGCCUAUCUUCAUUCAAAUAAAGCCCCAUGGUUUUGGGGUUUAGUGCAUCAAAGGUGUGUAUUUUGGCCACUCAUUUACACAAAAUAUCCAUAGCUUAUUGAUGUUUGCUCUCUCAUAAGCAAAACGCCACAUGGCUCACAGCAGCUGACUCUCGGUGCCGACAAGUCGAGGGAAGUAGAUGCAGUGGAGAUAAGCUCUUCCACACUGCUUCCAACAGGGACUCUGGAGAAGAGCUCUGCUGUGAAGUUCAGGCACCAUCAGUCAUACAAUCAAAUAUCAUUAAACUUCUCCCAGAAGAUUGGCGUUAUGAAAAUCUUGUAUUGUACUACUGCAUUUUAGUAAGGCUGGGCAGAGUGCUUAAAGAGGUCUUGAGAAGGAAGCAGGAAGAAAUCUAAGCCAGGCCAGGCAGCCAAGAAGAAUUAGAGUGGAACCAGACCAGAAUGAUUUCAGGCUGAGAAGUGACCUGUGGUGGACCUCUAAUUACUCUGCCAAAACAACACUGAUGUCUGAAGCAUCUAUUUGAUUUUGGGGGCAUGGAUUUGGGAAGUAGCUGCUUGUUGCUGAAGACUGUAGAAACUCUGACCCAAGAUGACCCUUUUAUUCCUCUACAAGCGAGGGUAUAGAAUGAAAAGAAUAUAAAGGAGACUUGUACUCCUGGUCCCACUGCAGCUCACAGCAGCAGAUGAAAAUAGGAACAAGAGUGUGGUAGGCAUUGGCUGCUGCCUGCUGCUGUUCAGCCACUAUGGGCAACGUCAAAGAAACUGCCUCAGUCUGUCAAUAACCAUCAAUUCAGUGAAGCUGAAGAGAUCAAAGCUUACAGCAAAGGAGAGGUUUUAUUGUGCAAGCCCACCAGGGUCUGUAAACUUGCUUCUACGAGAGAUCAAAAGCUGAAAGGGUGCAUGACUUGUCCAAACUUCACUUUUGGCUUCACAGGCCCCAUAGGCACUGCCAGCCUUACACUCAGACAGAACCAAACGCUGCAUUGCUCCAAACCGUUAGCCUCAGGCAAAAUACCCGGUAUGGUGGCAUUCCUUGGGAAAGGAGGAUUUAAGUACAGAAAGCCUAGCUGACAGUGAAUGAUGCAUUGCUGUACAGCAACAGGACCACUGUGCUUUUCCUAACAGAGCUGUGACAUGCUGGACUCCGUCCCAGGGCACAGCGUUAUAGAUGGAGUGGGAAAGAGACACAGAGAGGAGAAGCCUUCUGUGUGUGCAGUGGCCUGUGGCAAAUGGUCCAAGUGGCAGGUACUGCAGACAGCAGCAUCACCCCUGGCCAAAAGGUUGCUUUGGUCAUCUUCCAGAGCCUGCUUUGCAUUCACACUGCCAGGUCCCAGUAAGGAGCAGUUGGUGCAGCCAGGUCAGUGCCCACACUGCCACACAUUCCCAUUUCAGUAUGGGGGCUUUGGGAAUUUCCCAGGAGUGGGAAUCAACUGAAUCAUAGAAUCAUAUAAAGUUGCUCAGGUUGGAAAAGAUCUUAAAGAUCAUCAAGUCCAACCAAUGGCGUUUGAGUUCUGCUAAGUGAUGAACUUGGAAUUUGAGCUGCAAUUCAGCAAUAAUUGAUGUAGUACUUGUUUUAAUGUCUGCCAUUAACUGCAAAAGCAGAAAAUGCAGCAUCUGCAUGACACUGCAAUGGCAGAUGAUCCACGACUGCUCAUUUUGAGAUAUGACGAAAGAGAGCAGGACACCUGGUUUCCAUCCUGCUCUCAGUGAUGCACCAGGUCACACCCAUUUCUGUAACAGUUGGAUUGUACCAAGGAUCCCUCCUGCAGGUUGCACCCCCGCUGUGACGUACGAGCAGCACUUGGCAUGAACAGGUUUCUCUCCAGUCCAACUCAUCAGAUGUCAUGGGAAGACAAUUUUAUAUUGUAGGAACACUGCAGCUGUGGAAGGCAGCCCGGUGGCAAUCUCUUCAGCAUGCCUGACCUUUGGUCCGUAUGGUCUUUUAUCCAUAGCCUUUCACAGAAUCGCAGGGGUCGGAAGUGACCUCUGGAGAGGUCCCUGCUGGUAGGGUUCCUCUGGGAUAACCUGGUGUUGGUCACAGGAACUGAACUGCAGGCUGAAGCUUUGGUUCACAGGGUGAGAGGGAAAGCAGCCUGGCACAUGGCUCCUGCUUGGUGCUCGCUGCUGUAGUCAGAACUCAGAAGGAAAUCCUGCUGGGUGGCUUUGCAGCUACUAACAUAAAAUCUUGUCCAGCAUACCACUGGCUGGGCACACUGCACGGUGCUACUGUGCCCCCAGCUCCUGGGACAGUGGCACCGAGAGCAGCAAGGGCACUCAGGGUUGGCAUCCUGUAUUGCACUGGGAGCUCAACUGUCCCCUGACCCUGCAGAUGCAUCCUUAAGGAUGCUCUGAGUGAGGCAAGGAGGGGUGAGAGUGCUGUGUGCCCCCACCACUCCACCGUAGCACUCCUUGCUAUGGGCUCAGAUAUACAGGGAAAUCUGCACAGCCCUUUCUCCUUUGGUUAGAGUGGCAUCCAGUGGCCCAUACGCCUUCUUGAGGGCUGUGUUACAGAGCCCUUACUCUCACUGGCAUGCAAGUGUCCAUCUCCAUUUCAAAGUCUCUUCCUCAAAACCCUCACCUGAAUAUAGGAACCUCUGCCUCCUUCCAUCUCUGCCCUCCCCCUAAGGUCUGGCCCAGGGUCCCUCCCAGUGCUCUGCAGAGAUCUCCUGCAGGCUGCAGUGCUGCUGGCUUUCUGAUGUCACUCACAGAGUGCUCUUAGCCAGGGGCAGCGAUGUCGCAAUAAAUACCCUCUUGGGUGCACAUGGGAGGACAGAGAUGGAACUGCAUUGCCCCCACCCUCAAGCUCCUCAGACAGAACAGAUGGCCGGGCCGUUCCAUCAUCCUUUCUGCCAUGGCUGCCCCCAACCCAACCAGACCCAACCCUGUGGCCUGGGCUCCUGCUCAGCAUUCUGCACCCAGCUCUGCUGUGCAGCAUUGGGCUCAGGUGCUCUCGCGGCACCUGAGAUCAGCCCUGUCUUCUGAGACAUCACACAAGUACGGCUGGGGGUGUGUGCAGGGGAUUUAUUAAUAACCUGCCUGAUUUCACCUGCCUGCUCAGUCAUAACAGUCCCAGACAUGCUGCCUUUCCUCCCCCGUUUUCCAUAUGCUAAUGCUUUCCUCUCACCUGCCAGGGGCUGCUUCAUGUCAGCCUGACAGACAGCCCUUUAACUUUCUCCUCCUGCAAACUGUGUGGUCCAGGAGAAGGAGGUCAUCUGCCAGAGGAGGUCUCGUGGCCCGGUGUGUUUCCAAACCAUUUGGAGCCCUGAGUGGAGGGAGCCAAACCAUGGUUUGGGGCCAGUGGCCCCAGGUCCCUGCCCCAUGCUGCUGCACCCAAUACAUCCCAGGGGUUGCUGGCCUUCAGCAGCAGGUGCUGCACUGUCCUGCACUAGGUCUUCUGAGCUGGAUAGAGACGUGCUCUGGAGCUGUUGCUCAUGGCUCCCCUAAACCUUCUCUGUCUUCGCUCCUUAAAAUGGCUCUGUGUGCAGCAGGGUGAGUCUGGACACAGCCCAGGCCAGCUGAGCACUUGGCUGCUGCAGCACCACAUGCUGCAGGUCCCUGCAGGCAGCAGGGCUGCAGUAGCCCAGGUAGGGACAAGGGGGCCACAAAAGGGUGAAGGCAGGAAAGGUCAAGUUUAGGCCUGGGAAGCUCCAGAUGACCUUUGCCUCUCCUGCCUGCUGCUGCCCACAGGGCUUUUCCCCUUCUCUCCUUAGGCCUGCAGGGGGCUGAAGCCAUCCCCUGGAGGAAGCUGCUUGCUGGGGAGCAGAGAGCUCCCUGUAUCCCUCUGCAUUCAGUUCCACAGAUCCCCAAGCCAAGGCAGUUCUCAUGCUGUCCUUCGCUUUGUUUUAGGGGCCUUCAAUAACCAAGAACUUUCAGAAAGGCAGGCAUGGGACAUGAACCUCCAUUUGUCAUUUGUUCUGCUUGGAGUCUGUUCUGCCCACUGCCCCGCAACAAGCCCAAAUGUUUCCCCUCCCCGUACCCUUCUCCCAGCUACUGGAGGAGGCUGGCGUCCUUACCAGGACCUGCAAAGAGCUGGAGAUGGGCACCAGAAUUUCCUGGGCCAGGCUGGGCAGUGGGGGCUGGUGCUGAGCAACCCCUGGGGUCCUGGCGAGGCCCUUCCCAGCACCCUGUUGUGCCUUCCCUCUCCCUCAGGCUCCCAGGUAUCAGGCUGUGUUUCUCAGUAGUUAUUACCCAUGUUGAGCACCUCCCUCUAUUCUUGGACCUUUCGAGCAUCUUUUGUUUCCCAGGCAUUCUCCUCUCCCUCUUUAUUUUUAAAUUAAAAAGGAUUUAAAAAAAAAAAAAAAAAAAGACGUUUCCAUAGGAACUUUGGUGAGAAGCUGAUUCCGACCUCAUUAUUUGCUCAGUGAAAGGAACUUUAUUUUCAUCUGUUUGUGUACAUUGUCAGAUUUUGGCUAAACCUACUUUCCUGACUUUGUACAGCACGUUCUUUUAAUCUUCAUUUCAAAUGCAUUCAUCCCGUGGCUUAAUUUAUCCCAUAUUGUGAUCAAAUUUAGCUGAAAGCGAUCUGCUUUGCCAAUUUUGAAUAUUCAUCAGCUGCCUCGUUCAUUCACCAAAGCAAACCCCGCUCAGAGCGGGCAGCCACAACUGCAGCAGCCUC